AACGGAGAACUAGGGUUUUCGGGACUUGGCCGUACAAACAUCGCCGUUUUCCUUCAUGGGCAAUAAUGGCUUCUCAGACGAGCAAAAAGCGAAAGUUCGUUGCAGAUGGAUUUCUUCUGUUGGUGAUGAAUGAGUCGAUAUCUGAGUAAUUUAGUUGCCGACGGUGACGAUGAUCAUAGUUACUCGAUUCGAGGAUGUACUCGAAUAUCAGAUAUGCAUCAUUGACAGGCGGUAGCUGUUGCAGCACUGUUUUGGAGAGUGAUAUUGUUGCCUGUUUCCUCGAGCUCCAAGAAAUGUCGGUCAACCCAAAUAUAAAAUAGUUUCCUGUUGUACUUCGUCCAUUUGCUGCCUAGCCACCCCGAUCGCUAUCACUGUUCCUUUGAGGCUACGAUACAGAAUACCAAAGUUCAUUGUUCCUGCGAGAUACCAUAGGACUCUCUCUGCUGCUCCAAAGUGAUGUCGACUCAGAUUGUGCAUGAACCAUGAUAGAACUCGAACAACAAAGCUCACAUCUGUACAAGAAUGUGCGACAUAAAUGAGUCUGCCAAUUAGAUUCCUGUACAAGCUUGCAUCUGCUCUUUUAUGUUUCAUCAUGUGGUUUCAAUUUCUCACCUCUGUUCAUCGGAGUGUUUGAUAUUUUGCAAUUGAACAUGUUGAAUCUUUCCAACGUGUCUUUUACAUAUUUCCUUUGUGACAAAUAUUCCAUCUUUUGUUUGAUUAACUUCUAGUCUUAGGAAAUA
Cynara cardunculus var. scolymus (artichoke) is the source of this 740-nucleotide long non-coding RNA. RefSeq lists it as uncharacterized. The transcript is spliced from 3 exons. The record is from RefSeq and is a predicted model, not a curated record. NCBI's taxonomy places the organism in Eukaryota, Viridiplantae, Streptophyta, Magnoliopsida, Asterales, Asteraceae.